This 253-nucleotide ribosomal RNA is filed under the name uncultured bacterium. RNAcentral describes it as "partial 16S ribosomal RNA". It matches the Rfam family "Bacterial small subunit ribosomal RNA", at positions 524 to 776 of the family's 1533-position model. The record is from RNAcentral.
UACGUAGGGGGCAAGCGUUAUCCGGAUUUACUGGGUGUAAAGGGGGCGCAGACGGCGAUGCAAGCCAGGAGUGAAAGCCCGGGGCCCAACCCCGGGACUGCUCUUGGAACUGCGUGGCUGGAGUGCAGGAGGGGCAGGCGGAAUUCCAGGUGUAGCGGUGAAAUGCGUAGAUAUCAGGAGGAACACCGGUGGCGAAGGCGGCCUGCUGGACUGCAACUGACGUUGAGGCCCGAAAGCGUGGGGAGCAAACAGG